This 122-nucleotide small nucleolar RNA is filed under the name Procavia capensis (Cape rock hyrax). RNAcentral describes it as "Small nucleolar RNA SNORA11 (ENSPCAG00000020529.1)". It matches the Rfam family "Small nucleolar RNA SNORA11". Rfam says of the family: U107 (SNORA11) is a member of the H/ACA class of snoRNAs that guide the sites of modification of uridines to pseudouridines. This snoRNA was identified by RT-PCR from blood cells and its expression confirmed by Northern blot analysis. The record is from RNAcentral. Lineage: Eukaryota; Metazoa; Chordata; Mammalia; Hyracoidea; Procaviidae.
AGGUUGUGCUCAAGAGCUGGCGGCCACAGUGCCUGUCGGUUUACAACACAGCAACCAGAAUCCGGGUGCGCUGUGACAAUGGGCACACUUUCUGGGCUCCCAUGGACAACCGCCCUACACAC